GCUACACCUGGCAUACUGGGAGUUGUCGUCUUUGAUUAGCUUCCAGUUUUUUAAUUGCAGGGCGACCGGAUUACAAUCACAGCCAGCAUGAACAUGGGGCGGCGCACAGUCCUGAAGAGGAAAGCCGGGCUGUGUUGACCUCGCUGUGCAUGCUGGGAGUUGUAGUCUCUUCACUGCUCCCGCCCGUUGUUUCAGGCACUUCGGGACUACAAUCCCAGCAUGACCCGGGCUCGGGGACGGGGCGCAGUUCUCGUGGGAGGAGCGGGGCGGUGAGAGCCUGGCUAGGCAGGCUGGAAACAGUAGCUCUUAACGGUCCCCCGCCCGUUGGUGGCAAGGCGGCUGGACUGGAAUCCCAGCAGGCGACAUGCGAGGAGGCGGGCAGCCCAGGAGGGUUGGACACGGCAAUGUGGACCUCGCCGCUUCCACAACGAUGCUGGCUACUGAUCGCGUGCACUUCCUUGCCAAAGAAAAUUUGUGCUGUGCACUAACAUGCAAUACAAAUACUGAUGAAAAUAAAACUAUUGCCCUCCUACCAAAUGAGAAAUUAAUGUUAUGACUGGAUGAAGACAAUUGUGAAGAAACUGCACUUUGAGGUUGUCUAUCUCUGUAUUCUGAUGGAAAAGCGUGGAGUUUAGAAGCACUGCUCACUCCUUCAGUUUCUAACAAGUUUGAGACUAUGGUUAGGUGGUGAGGAAGGCAGGCUCAGCACCCAAGCCUUGGGGAGACGCAGAAAGGGCCCAUCCCAGGCACUCAGGUGGAGGUGGUCUGUCCUAGAGAACGUUCCAUGUGGAUUUGAGAAGAAUAUAUAUUCUCAUGUUGGAUGCAGUGCUGUGCAUAUGUUUGUUAGGUUUAGUUGUUUUAUGUUGUUGUUCAUGUUUUCUAUUUUUUAUCUUCUGUCUACUUGUUCUAUCCAUUAAUAUAAGUGAAGCAUUAAAGUCUCCAACUAUUACUGUUGAAUUAUCUAUUUCUCCCUUUAUUUCUGUCAUUUUUGCUUCAUGUAUUUCUGUGCUUAUUUGAUAACUGCAUAUAUGUGAAUAAUUUUUUUAUAUUUUCCUGAUGAGUUUACCCUUUGCCAAUACAAAAUGUCUUUAUCAGUAUAUAUUUUUUUGUUUUGUUUCAUUUUGUUUUUUGAGACAAGAGUCUUGCUCUGUCACCCAGGCUGGAGUGCAGUGGCACAAUCUUGGCUCACUGCAACCUCCGCCUCCUGGUUCAAGUGAUUCUCCUGUCUCAGCCUCUUGAGUAGCUGGAAUUACAGAUACCUGCCACCAUGCCUGGCUAAUUUUUGUAUUUUUAGUAGAGACAGGGUUUCACCAUGUUGGCCAGGCUGGUCUUGAACUCCUGACCUCAAGUGAUCCACCUGCCUUGGCAUCCCAAAGUGCUGGGAUCACAGGCAUGAG
RNAcentral lists this long non-coding RNA (1397 nucleotides) under Homo sapiens (human). RNAcentral's name for it is "HSALNT0123509". The record is from RNAcentral. Lineage: Eukaryota; Metazoa; Chordata; Mammalia; Primates; Hominidae.